CAUCCCAGGAAAGUGACAAAGGCACCAAGCCAGCCAGGGAGGGAAGGGGCGAGGCACACGGUGAGGAAGGCCGCCCUGGCCACAGCCUCACGGGAACUAAUCUCUGGGCCACGGGGCUCCUCCCACAGCCUGGGCUCCGUCCCUGAGCCCCAGUGUCCAAUAGCGCCUCCUGUCGCUGCCCUGGAGGCUGCAGACCCCAACGGAGGGCAGGCUCUGUGCCAGGCCGGGCACGCACCACCUCGCUUCCCCAGCACCCAGGAGCUGGGCCCCACAACCACGCCAGAACCUAAUUUUUUUUCAUUCGCGCCCCAUUGACUAAGCACUGUAAAGCGCAAGGCGGUGGGCGCCGCCUCAUUCCACUGGACCCCACUGCGAGGCAGACGUUGUCACCCCGUCUACAGGCCUCUACGAGACUCGACCCCAGAGGAGGGCAUCUCCACUCCUGAGGGAUCCCCCAUUCCUCAUUCAUUCCCCUGGUGAGUUGCCCACCAUCUGAGGGCUCGGCCUCCCACCCCACGGCGGGCCUGGCGCCUGGUGGUCAGGUGCACGGCUCACCAGCCAGGUGCCCUGGACACCCUUGCAGGCUUGGUUCUUGGCUAUAAAAUGGGAGAGGUGAUUUUACCACCUGGAGAGCUGGCUAGAACGACACGUGUGUGACAGGCACUGGGCACAUGGGCGUGCCAGCAUCCUCCCGAUCAAGGGGUCCCUCUUCCCUGGGACCCGGCCUGCCUUCCCCACCUGCUCACCCCUGCUGGGGCUGAGGCAUUGCCGUGGGCUCCCUCCCGAGUUCUUGGCAGGCACCUCGAUGACAUGCUGGUUUCUGGGCUGAACCUUCCAGCUCAAUCCAGCUCAUGAUCAUGGAACCCCAGGCAGGAAGCAGAACCUUCUGGAAGGCGCAGAGGUGACCCGCCCUGGCUGUGAACCUUGCUGUCCAGCUACGGCCGUGCUCAAGGAUGUGUCCAGGACCACUUACUGGCCGGUCCACGGCAGGACCUGUGUCAUCUGCCCAAAGCAACACGGCUAGUUAAAAGUUUUAUUGAUUGAACACAGUUGAGCGUAAGUAGUAAAAGUCCCCCGAUGUAACCCACUUUUUCUUAAUGGGUAAUCUCAGACACUCGAGUUUGUAUGUUAAAGGAGCUUUAGGACAAUUUAAGAGCUCAUAAAAUUUUAUAGUCCCAGUUGAAAUCAGAGUGAUAACUCUGGUCUGCACAGCUACAGUUUGCUAAAUGUCUCUCAUCUAUUUUUUCCCCCCGUUUAUUGGAAAGUUAACAUCUGCUCUGCUACGGGGAGGAAAGAAAAGGGAAGGAAAAUAAUGAUCUAUUUUUCCAGAACAGAGGUGAGAGAUUCGGCUCUCCUCGCGGUAUCUUCUUUUCCAAACACAUGAUUUUCCUUGAAGUCAAAAAGAGCUUCCAUAAACAGCCGACCCACAGUUCACAGAGCACCCCAGCAGGCACGGUCCCCACAGGGACUGCCGACACCCGGAGUCCAUCCAGGCCACGGCCAAGGCCUGGGAUCAGCCCAAACCUCGUGGAGCCCAUUAAGGGUCACGACCUGGUAAUUUAUAAAGCACCCACUGUGUCCAUAGUCCACGGGGCCACAAAGGCCACCAGUUCGCUUCCUGGGAGGAGCUUACCUUUGGAAGCUAAAACUGUGACAGCUCUGCACCCAAGCAGGGGGCUCCGGGAAGGGGGGCCUUUCCAAAGGCUUCUGGGAGGAGGCGGAGAUGGCCCGGGGCUCCACAGACGGGGGAGAUUCAGAAGCUGGGUCCAAGUGACAGGAGAGCCCAGUGUCCUCGCUACACCACGUAGCAUGUCACCUGACCUCCGGGAGCCUCAGUUUCCUUUCAAAUGGGACUCACGUCAGUACCUCCCUCAGAGUCAGGGUCAGUGGGCUCUCCUCGCUGACCCACCCCCCUGGCCAGCCUCCUGGGCUCCUGCCCACCAGGGAAAAGGAAGAAACGAGGCCACGGGAACUUUGUCUCCUGCCACGUGGAAGCAGCCAGCCGUGGUGAGGCCACACACUGUCACACAGACUUCAGAUGCCAGAGAACCAAGGGGGCGUCCAGCAGGGUGAGGCCCUGCGGCCUGCUGCCUGGUGGGGUUCCGGGACUCCGGGAAACUGUGCUGCCACCGGCGCCCCAGGUUGGCCUCAGACCGGGCUGGCGGAGCCGCCCAGUGUUUGAAACCUCACUUGACUGGCAAUAGCCGGCCUGCCAAGGAAUCUGCAGAUCUCCACAUUCAUGAAUGCCCUGUGGGGUGUGACCCCGCGAGACGCAGGCAGGGGUCACAGAGAAGCGCCUGCGAGCCCCCCUCCUGAUAAGCCACACGAGUGAAGGGGAGUGGUCCUCAGAGCACUGGGCUCUUCUUGGCUGGGCCGGCUGCUUCUUCCAAGGAGCAGCUUGCCUGGGGUCCAGAUGCCCAAGCCCCUGAUGAGAAUCCAGCCGCGGAAUGACAGGGCUGGACAGUGGGCCCGGGCCCAUCGCUGGAGCCACACACUGGCCCCGGCGCCCAGUUCCCCACCAUAGCUGGAGCAAAGGGCAAAAGCCACCUCCCCAAUCUGUGUUGAGACUUCACAGACGGCAGAACAGUGCCGGGCUCUGCUCCCACCCGCCAGCCUGUGCCACCUCCUCCGUCAGAGCGGGCUCCUCCACCAUCCAUCCCUUUUCAGGCCACCUCCUAGAGACCAGCUGGCCACCCGUCUACAGCAGCCCACCUCGGCCCCUCAGGCAUCCCCUUGCGGCCUCCUCUCAAAGCGCUAAGCUGUCUCUAAGUUGGUCUACUCUGUGAUCUGAUCCGUGUUCAUCUUCUGCCUCCGUGGGGCCUGACACGCUCCUGCUGCAUCUCCCGAGCCGAGAGCCCUGGAGGGAGGUCAAUAUCUGCUGAAUGAUGACUGAAUGUUGAAACGGAAAAUGCUCUGUCACCAACACACCUGAGUUGAAUCCCAGCCCUGCUGCUGUCUUGUGACCGUGGGCCAGUUACUUAAUCUUUCUAGUCCAUAAAACAGAGAGAGUGACGCCGAGGUCCCCAGGCCAGCGCCCUCUCCCCUCCUCUCUGCCUGCCCACGAUCCUCAGAAUGACAGGAUUGAUUCAAAGGCCUUGGUGCCACCGCCACCCCAAAGGCAAAAGCUGCAGUCGCUCUGCUCCCUCGGUGCCUGGGCGCUCUCAUGAGAGGCUCCGAUGUGUUGACACGAGGGCACUGUGGGCACCGAAAUAAUCCGAUUGCACAUGGAGAGAGGGAGAGCGAGGGGGAGGGAUAAUCGAGCAUCAGACAGGCAGCUAUUCUCCAGGAGGCCAUUUCAUCGUUCUUUCUCAUAUUCCCGGUUUCUAAGAGAUCCCCUAAAUAAAGCAGUUGUAUUAUUUUGUGACUCAUAAAAUACACGUUAUAGUGAUAACAUAGCUAUAAUCAUAACUACACUGAUUGAACACAUACUACACACCGUAAAGCUCUCAAGGUGGGUCUUACUCUCCCACUUCGCAGCUGGUAAAACCGUGGCUCACAGCCAUGCUGCCCUGGCCACACCUCCCGGCCACGGGCCACGCUGGGUCCCACCCUCCCCGCUCCACGGCCUUUAAGGCCUUUCGGAUCCCAGGCAUUCGCGCUCAGCCCUCUUUCUUCGGGUCCGGGGUCACGCUGCUUUCCAUUUCCAAGCCUGGUUACUACAGAUGCAAAAUGAAAAAUGAGCCAAUAACCCAGUAAAUCUGAGCCACUCGGCGCGAAAUGCAAUAACGGCGGUGAGGGCCGGGCUGCGUUCCCAGCCAGACAGAUUAAGCAGCGCCACCGGGGAGCUGCCCGCUCUGGCUCUCGGCGACGUCGAAAGGGCACAGAAAGGUCUCACCCUGAAGGACAGAGAGGGUCGCACCCGGGCGAGGGCCGGGCGGGCGGGCAGCUCUGCUCCUCUGGCCCUCGGCCUCCAGGCUUCCCAGGGCUGCCCUGGGGCCCAUGGAGCACACACACACCUGGAAAGUUCUGGCCCCAGGUGAGGACUCCGAGGACGAUGGAGCCGCCCCCAUUUGUGAAAUGGGCACAAUCCCUCAGAUCUCGAAUGAUGACUUUCUGAGAGAAAACAACAAAGGUGACGAGACGUUUUGAAAGGAAUAUAUACGCAGUCAUGCACUGUAGCCAAGGGGACACGUUCUGAGAACUGCAUCGCCGGGCGAUUUCAUUGUUGUGGGAACACUAUAGAGUGAGCACACACAAAGCUCCUACACACCUGGGCUUCAUGGGGCUAAUCCCACAGGACCACUGUCGUCCACAUGGUCCGGGGUUGAUGGCAUCAUCGUGAUGCGUUACAUGACUGUGAGAUGCAAGAGCAGGUCACUCUGCCUUACGGCCCUACUGGCCCCUCCCGGGAAAGGGAUGCACAGCGGUGGCAAUGCCCGAGAUAGAAGGAUUUGCCACCACAACGCAGAGGUCCGCCUGCCAGACAAGGUUCUCCAUCCUGGCUAAAUGUGGCAGUCCCUGGGGAGGUUUGAAAACACUCACGCCCAGGUCUGACCCCAGAGACUAAGAUUUACUGGCCCGGCAUGGCCAGCCCAGAAUGCCGGCCUGGACCGCCUGCCUUGGGGAGAGCCCAUAGACACCUGCCCAGCCACACCGGAGCCUGAGGCGCCCGGAAAGGACAGUGAU
Molecule: long non-coding RNA, 4626 nt
Organism: Equus quagga
Lineage: Eukaryota; Metazoa; Chordata; Mammalia; Perissodactyla; Equidae
Exons: 3
Source: RefSeq, a predicted model, not a curated record